This 52-nucleotide microRNA precursor is filed under the name Equus caballus (horse). Its description in RNAcentral is "mir-1302 microRNA precursor family". Lineage: Eukaryota; Metazoa; Chordata; Mammalia; Perissodactyla; Equidae. The record is from Rfam by way of RNAcentral.
UUUUCAGUAUAAAUAUGUCCCAUGCAAAAUUUGGAACAUACUUUCGCUAAAA